AAAGAUUUUGUAUAUAAUUUCGAAGUAAACACCUACUGUGGAUGUGUGACAUAUAUAAAAUUUUAAACUUCAUUAUAGGGAUUAGCUUUCUUAGUAAAACAGAGAAUUUUCGUACAAGAAAGCAUUCUUCUAACAGAGAAUUUUCAUGCAUUGAUUUAAUUUCCCAUUUUAUAUGCUGGAACUAUUAGAAUGUAAUUAUUAUUUUCCAUAUCUGUUUGCAAAAGUAAAAAAAUUCUACAAUGCACGGACAAUAGCACUAGAGAAAUCAUAAUCGUCCAAAUCUGGCUCGAACUUUCAAGUUAAUAACCUGCAUAAAUACAAACUAAAUGAAAUUCCCGCGAACUACAUAAACAUAUCUUUGAUGAAAAGCUGCAAGCUCUUCUUUGGCGUGUGUAAGCAGGUCCUGAAUGCUAGUUUCUAUACUAGCAAUGUCUCUCACUCGAACAUUGAGAGUGAACUGCUAACGUUUUCCUUGCCAGCAACCAAUAUCUAAUUGUAUUGUGCCAAUUAUGUACGGGUAUUACUUUGUGGCUCCCUUAUUUGUUUACAUUAUUUUGUUAUGAUACAACUAAAUCUAGGCCCAUGUCGACCGCCUUCACCUCGUAGGCGCAUGGCCGCCUACACGCCCUUGAAUGCUGCCUACUACUUGUAGGCUCUUGAUUGGCACCUACUCUUUGUAGGCCCUCACCCCUUUCCCGUUUAUCCCUCGCAAGCCCUCGUUGGUCGACUACUUCUCGUAGGCUCACGUUUGCCGACUACACCUCAUAGGCCCUUACUCGCCGCUUACCCCUCGUAGAACCUCGUUCACCGUCUACCGCUCAUAGGCUAUCGUUGGUCGUCUACUCUAGUAGGCCAUCGUCGGUUGCCUACCCUUGUAGGUCCUCGUCAAUUGCCUAUGUAGGUUCUUGUCGCCUACCCUUGUAGGUACUUGUCGGUCGCCUAUCCCUUGUUGGCCCUUAGUCAUCGGCGACUUACCCCUUGUAGGCUAAUGUUUGCGGCCUACUCCUCGUUGGCCCACGCUCGUUGCCUACACACUAUAUAGGCCCUUGUUUGUCGCCUAGCCCUCGUAGACCCACAUUUUGCCUACUAUUCGUAGGCCAUUGUUCGUCACUUACCGCUCACAGGCCCUCGUUGUCCGCCUACCGCUAGUAGGCCCUUGUUACCCGCCUAUCGCUAGCCUACCGCUUGUAGGUCCUCUUUUGUCGUCUACUACUUGUAGACCCUCGUUUACCGCCUACUGCUUGGUUGCCGCCUACACCUUGAUUGUCGCCUACACCUUGUAGGCCUCGAUAGUCGCCUACACCUUGUAGGCCCUCGUUUCUUGCCUACACCUCGUGGGCCCUCGAUUGCCGCCUAUACCUCGUAGGUCCUCGAUUGCCGCCUACUCUUCGUAGGCCCUCGAUUGCUGCCUACACCUCGUAGGCAUAGAUUGCUGCCUACCUCUCGUAGGCCCUCGAUUGCUGUCUACCUCUCGUAGGCCCUCAAUUACUGCGUACACCUCUUACGCCUCUAUUAUCGCCUACACCUCGUAGGUCCUCGAUUGUCGCCUACACCUUGUUGGCCUCGAUAAUCGCCUACACCUCGUAGCCUCUCGAUUGCUACGUACACAUCGUACGCCUCUAUUGUCGCCUACACCUCGUAGGCCUCGAUAAUUGCCUACACCUCGUUGGCCCUCGAUUCCCGCUUACACCUCGUAGGCUAUAGUUGUCGCUUACACCUCGUAGACCCUCGAUUUCCGCGUACACCUCGUAGGCCCUCGAUUGCCGCCUACACCUAGUAGACCCUUGAUUAAUGCAUACAACUCGCAGACUCUCGAUUUUCGCCUACACCUCGUAGGCCCUCGAUUGCCGCCUACAACUCGUAGGCCCUCGAUUGUCGCCUACACCUCGUAGGCCCUCGAUUACUGCGUACACCUCGUACGCCUCUAUUGUCGCCUACACCUCGUAGGCCCUCGAUUGUCGCCUACACCUUGUUGCCCUCGAUUGUCGCCUACACCUUGUAGGCCUUGAUAAUCGUUUACACCUCGUAGGCCCUCGAUUGAUGCCUACCCUUUGUAGGCCCUCAAUUUCCGCCUUCCGCCUACACCUCGUAGGCCUAGAUUUGCACCUACAUCUCGUAGUCCCUCGACUGUGGCCUACCCCUCACAAGCUCUCGGUUGUCGCCUACACCUCGUAGGCUCUCGAUUUCUGCCUACACCUCAUAAGCACUUGAUUACUGCGUACAUCUCGUACGCCUCGAUUGUCGCUUACACCUCGUAGGCCCUCAAUUUAUGCCUACACCACUUAGUCCCUCGAUUGCCGCCUACACCUCAUAGGCGCUUGAUUUUCGCCUACAUCUUGUAGGUCCUCGAUUUCCGCCUACAUUUUGUAGGCCCUCGAUUUUCGCCUACAUCUCGUAGGCCCUUGAUUUUUGCCUAAACCUCGUAGGCUCUCGAUUUUCGCCUACACCUCGUAGGCCCUCGAUUACUGCGUACAUCUCGUACGCCUCGAUUGUCGCCUACACCUUGUAGGGCUCGAUUGUCACCUACACCUCGUAGGCCUCGAUAAUCACCUACACCUCGUAGGCCUUCGAAUUUUGCCUACACCUUGUUGGAUCUAGUUUGUCGUUUACACCUCGUCGGUCCUCGAUUGCCGCCUACAACUUGUAGGCCCUCGAUUGCCGCCUACACCUCGCAGACCCUCGAUUUUCGCAGACACCUCGUAGGGCCUCGAUUGCCGCUUACAACUUGUAGGCCCUCGAUUGUCGCCUACAACUCGUAGGCCCUCGAUUGCCGCCUACAACUCGUAGGCCCUCGUUUGCCGCCUACACUUUGUAGGCUUUCGUUUGCCGUCUACACUUCGUAGACCCUCGAUUACCGUCUACACCUCGUAAGCCCUCGAUUACCGUCUACACCUCGUAGUCUCUCGAUUUCUGUCUACACAUCGUAGGCCCUCGAUUUCUGUCUACACAUCGUAGGCCCUCGAUUUCCGCCUACACCUCGUAGGCCUUCGAUUUCCGCCAACACAUCGUAGGCCCUCGAUUUCCACCUACACCUCGUACGCCCUCGAUUGUCGAUUACACCUCAUAGGCCUCGAUUGUCGACUACACCUCGUAGGCCUCGAUUGUCGACUACACCUCGUAGGCCUCGAUUGUCGCCUACAACUCGUAGGCCUCGAUAAUCGCCUACACCUCGUAGGACCUCGAUUCAUGCUUACCCCUUGUAGGCCCUCAAUUGUCGCCUACCCUUUAUAGGCCCUCGAUUGGCGCCUACUCCUCGUACGCGCUCGAUUUUUGCCUACAAUUCGUAAGCCCUCGAUUUCCGCCUACACAUCGUAGGCUGUCGAUUUCCGUCUACACCUCGUUGGCCAUCGAUUGUUGUGUACGCCUCUAUUGUCGCCUACACGUCGUAUGCCCUCGAUUGUCGCCAACACCUUGUAGGCCUCGAUAAUCGCUUACACCUAGCCUCGAUAAUCGCUUACACCUCGUAGGCCUUCGAUUGUCACCUACCACUCGUAGGCCCUCGAUUUCCGCCUACCCCUCGUAGGUCCUCGAUUUUUGCCUACACCUCGUAGGCACUCGAUUUUCGCAUACACCUCGUAGGCCCUCGAUUACCGCAUACACCUCGUAGUCCUCGAUUACUGUGUACAUCUUAGGCCCUCGAUUACUGUGUACCUCGUAGGCCCUCGAUUGAUGCCUACACCUCGUAGGCCCUCGAUUGAUGCCUACACCUCGUCGGCCCUCGAUUUUCGCCUACACAUCGUAGGCCCUCGAUUUUCGCCUGCACAUCGUAGGCCCUUGACGACUACACCUCGUAGACCCGUGACUGUCGCCUACCCCUCAAAAACCCUCGAUUUUCGCCUACACCUCGUAGGCCCUCGAUUUCCGCCUACACCUCGUAGGCACUCGAUUUCCGCGUACACCUCAUACGCCUCUAUUGUCGCCUACAUCUCGUAGGCCCUCGAUUGUCGCCUACAUUUUUUAGGCCCUUUAUUGUCGCCUACACCUCGUAGGCCUCGAUAAUCGCUUACACCUCGUACGCCCUCAAUUGAUGCCUACACCACUUAGUCCCUCGAUUGACGCAUACCCUCGUAGGCCCUCGAUUGCCGCCUACCCCUUGAAGGCCUUCGAUUUCCGCCUACACCUCGAUUUCCGCCUACAUCUUGUAGGCGCUCGAUUUCCGCUUACAUCUCGUAGGCGCUCGAUUUCCACCUACAACUCGUAGGCCCUCGGUUACUGCGUACACCUCAUACGCCUCUAUUGUCGCCUACACCUCGUAGGCCUCGAUAAUCGCCUACACCUUGUAGGCCCUCAAUUGAUGCCUACACCACUUAAUCCCUCGAUUGCCGCCUACCCCUCGUAGGCCCUCGAUUUUCGCCUACAUCUCGUAGGCCCUCGAUUUCCGCCUACACCUCGUAAGCCCUCGAUUACUGUGUACACCUCGUAGGCUCUUGAUUGUCGCCUACACCUCGUAGGCCCUCGAUUGUCGCCUACAUCUUGUAGGCCCUUGAUUGUCGCUUACACCUCAUAGGCCUCGAUAAUCGCCUACACCUCGUAGGCCCUCAAUUGAUGCCUACACCAUUUAGUCCCUCGAUUGUCGCCUACCCCUCGUAAGACCUCGAUUGCCGCCUACCCCUCGUAGGACAUCGAUUGCCGCCUAUCCAAUGUAGGCCUUCGAUUUUCGCCUACAACUCGUAGGCGCUCGAUUUCCGCCUACAUCUCGUAGGCGCUUGAUAUCUGCCUACAUCUUGUAGGCGCUCGAUUUCCGCCUACACCUCGUAGGCCCUCGAUUACUGUGUACACCUCGUACGCCUCUAUUAUCGCCUACACCUCGUAGGCCUCGAUUGUCGCCUACACCUCGUAGGCCUCGAUAAUCGCCUACACCUCGUAGACCCUCGAUUCUCGCCUACACCUCGUAGGCCCUCGAUUGCUGCCUACACCUAGUAGGCUCUCGAUUGCCGCCAACACCUAGUAAGCCCUCGACUGCCGCCUACAUCUAGUAGGCCCUCGAUUGCCGCCUACUAGGAGUAGGCAUCGAUUAUCGCCUACACCUCGUAGACCCUCGAUUUCCGCCUACACCUCGUAGGCCCCCUCGAUUGCCGCCUACUCCUCGUAGGCCCUAGUUUGCCGCCUACACUUCGUACGCUAUCGAUUACCGCCUACACCUCGUAGGCUCUCGAUUAUCGUCUACACCUCGUAUGCCGUCGAUUUCCGCCAACACCUGGUAGGCCCUCGAUUUCUGCAUACACCUGGUAGGCCCUCGAUUACUGCGUACACCUCGUACGCCUCUAUUGUCGCCUGCACCUCGUAGGCCCUCGAUUGUCACCUAUACCUCGUAAGCCUCGAUUGUCGCCUGCACCUUGUAGGUCUCGAUAAUCGCCUUCACCUCGUAGGCCCUCGAUUAAUGCCUACCCUCGUAGGCCCUCGAUUUCCGCCUAUACCUCGUACGCACUCGAUUGUUGCGUACACCUCAUACGCCUCUAUUGUCGCCUACACCUCGUAGGCUAUCGAUUGCCGCCUACACCUAGUUGGCCCUCUAUUGCCGCCUACUCCUAAUAGCCCUCGAUUGCCGCCUACAACUUGUAGACCCUGGAUUAUUACCUACACCUCGCAGACGAAGAUUUCCGCCUAUACCUCGUAGGCCCUCGAUUUCUGCCUGCACCUUGUAGGCCCUCGAUUGUCGCCUACAACUCGUAGGCCCUCAAUUGCCGCCUACACCUCGUAGGCUCUUGUUUGCCGCCUACACUUCGUACGCCCUUGAUUUUCUCCUACCCUUCGUAGGCCCUCAGAUACUGCCUACAUCUCGUAAGCCCUUGGUUACCGUCUACACCUUGUAGGCUGUCGAUUUCCGCCUACACCUCGUAGACCCUCUAUUUCCACCUACAUCUCGUAGGUCCUCGAUUGUUGCGUACACCUCGUACGCCUCUAUUGUCGCCUACACCUCGUAGGCCCUCGAUUGUCGCCUACACCUUGUAGGCCUCGAUAAAUGCUUACACCUCGUAGGCGCUCGAUUUCCGCCUACCCCUCGUAGGCCCUCGAUUUCCGCCUACCCCUCGUAGGCCCUCGAUUUCCGCAUAUACCUCGUUGGCCCUCGAUUUUUGCAUAUACCUCGUAGGCCCUCGAUAACUGCGUACACCUCGUACGCCUCUAUUGUCGCCUACACCUUGUAGGCCUCGAUUUUCGCCUACACCUUGUAGGCCUCGAUAAUCGUCUACACCUCGUAGGCCCUUGAUUGAUGCAUACCCUUUCGUAGGCCCUCGAUUUCCGCCUACACCUCGUUGGUCCUCGAUUUUCGCCUACACCUCGUAGGCCUUCGACUGUCGCCUACCCCUCUAAAGCCCUCGAUUGUUGCCUACACCUCGUAGGCCCUCGAUUUCCGCAUAUACCUCGUAGGCACUCGAUUGCUACGUAUACCUUAUACGCCUCUAUUGACGCCUACACCUCGUAGCCUACAUUGAUUAACUUGUAAAAGUCUAUGGAAGUUUUCCGUAUAAAAAGACUUCAAAGUAAAACCUUAAUAGUCAAGUCCCACAUUGAUUCACUUUUAAAAGUCUAAGGAAGUUUUUUUUAUAAAAAAACUUUAAUAGCCAAGUCCCACUUUUGUUAUAAAAUGAAACCUUAGUAGUUAAUGCUUUGACUAUCAAGUGAGACCUUAAUAGCCAAGUCCCACAUUGGAAAGUCCAAGGAAGUUUUGCUUUAUAAAAAGACUAUCAACUAUUAAUAGUUGGUGGUUUCCAAGUUUUAUAUUGAUUAAAUUGGUAAAAGUAAAA
RNAcentral lists this long non-coding RNA (6746 nucleotides) under Panax ginseng (ginseng). RNAcentral describes it as "long non-coding RNA (PGIN_LNC014045)". The record is from RNAcentral. Lineage: Eukaryota; Viridiplantae; Streptophyta; Magnoliopsida; Apiales; Araliaceae.